UAAUAAUAGGGAUAUUUUGAAACACUUCUAAAAAUAUAGUGACUAAAAAGAUAUUAACCUCAAAAUAUAGAAAUUAAACAAGUUUUUAUUCAAAAAUCCUGUGUAGCCUGACUUUACUAGAAUUUGCAAACAAAUGCAAAUACCAUUAGUCUUCCAAAACACAUGCUACUUUUCAUCAACAGCCUGUAAAAUACCAUUAGAAGAGAUAUUUGUGCCAUUUCCUAAGGAUCAUCAAACUCAAAACAAAAGAGUUUUUGUGAGGCACCAUAUCAGCUUGUAAAAUGCCACUGCAUUGACUAAUAGUCGAAAAUGACAAGAAGGAUAGAAAGGAAAUUUUAAAAUACAUUUCAGAUAUUAUGUCAUUAAUAUAAUAAAUAAAUAAUUUUAUAAUAUAAGUACAUUUAUUUGAAAGAACUGAUAUAUAAUUAGUGGUUAUAAAAAAUUUAAAUACACAUAUUCUAGAAUUUCUCAUAAAAGAGAGACAACGUAUUUCAUUUUUUUUCUUCUUAAUUUUGCUGCAUUACACUGUAGUGCGGUGCAUGAGCCACAUGCGUUUGAAAAAAUAGUCUAGUCGGUAUUGGCCUGUCCGGGAGUCAGAGCCUGUCCUUUUUGACACAGUGAUAACAUACUACAUCAAUGUGCAAUUCAUAAGCACAUGCGCAUACAAAAUUAGACUCUAGUUGGUGGGGGCUUGUUCGGGGAGCCUCUCUUUUUUGACACAAGAUGAAGCAAAUUAUUAACCAUCAAAUCACAACUUGAGAAGUUUCAUGAAAAAUGAAAAUAAUAGAAAUACAAGUGACUAACAAUGUACAUUUUGGUGUCUUUAUUUUUAGAGUCUUGUAGACAGUAACGGCUCAAUCAAUUAUGGGUUUUUAGGGGAAUUGUUUCAAUUAGACUUUUCAAAAAAUUUAAGGUUAAAUACAUGUAUUAAUUUUA
RNAcentral lists this long non-coding RNA (936 nucleotides) under Citrus x clementina. RNAcentral describes it as "Citrus clementina (C. clementina) long non-coding RNA (CCLE_LNC002463)". Lineage: Eukaryota; Viridiplantae; Streptophyta; Magnoliopsida; Sapindales; Rutaceae. The record is from RNAcentral.